AAUCAUAUCAACACCAUUAAAACAGUAUAACAUUUUUUAAAAUGAUUUUUCAAUAGUAGAAUGAUCCUCUCUAAUAAGAAAAUUAUUCAUAAACUUAUUCUCAUUAUUUAAAAGUUUACUAUUUAAUAAUUAGUCUUUUCUGCAAACAUCAACAAAAAUGGCAGUAAAU
Non-coding RNA from Hydra vulgaris (swiftwater hydra), 169 nucleotides. Lineage: Eukaryota; Metazoa; Cnidaria; Hydrozoa; Anthoathecata; Hydridae. The record is from RefSeq and is a predicted model, not a curated record.